This 735-nucleotide ribosomal RNA is filed under the name uncultured Actinomycetes bacterium. RNAcentral's name for it is "bacterial SSU rRNA". It matches the Rfam family "Bacterial small subunit ribosomal RNA", at positions 28 to 776 of the family's 1533-position model. The record is from RNAcentral. Lineage: Bacteria; Bacillati; Actinomycetota; Actinomycetes.
GAUGAACGCUGGCGGCGUGCUUAACACAUGCAAGUCGAACGAUGAUGGGAGCUUGCUCCUGGAUUAGUGGCGAACGGGUGAGUAACACGUGAGUAACCUGCCCUUAACUCUGGGAUAAGCCUGGGAAACUGGGUCUAAUACCAGAUAUGACUCCUCAUCGCAUGGUGGGGGGUGGAAGGCUUUAUUGUGGUUUUGGAUGGACUCGCGGCCUAUCAGCUUGUUGGUGAGGUAAUGGCUUACCAAGGCGACGACGGGUAGCCGGCCUGAGAGGGUGACCGGCCACACUGGGACUGAGACACGGCCCAGACUCCUACGGGAGGCAGCAGUGGGGAAUAUUGCACAAUGGGCGCAAGCCUGAUGCAGCGACGCCGCGUGAGGGAUGACGGCCUUCGGGUUGUAAACCUCUUUCAGUAGGGAAGAAGCGAAAGUGACGGUACCUGCAGAAGAAGCGCCGGCUAACUACGUGCCAGCAGCCGCGGUAAUACGUAGGGCGCAAGCGUUAUCCGGAAUUAUUGGGCGUAAAGAGCUCGUAGGCGGUUUGUCGCGUCUGCCGUGAAAGUCCGGGGCUCAACUCCGGAUCUGCGGUGGGUACGGGCAGACUAGAGUGAUGUAGGGGAGACUGGAAUUCCUGGUGUAGCGGUGAAAUGCGCAGAUAUCAGGAGGAACACCGAUGGCGAAGGCAGGUCUCUGGGCAUUAACUGACGCUGAGGAGCGAAAGCAUGGGGAGCGAACAGG